RNAcentral lists this microRNA (23 nucleotides) under Nematostella vectensis (starlet sea anemone). RNAcentral describes it as "nve-miR-9418". Lineage: Eukaryota; Metazoa; Cnidaria; Anthozoa; Actiniaria; Edwardsiidae. The record is from miRBase by way of RNAcentral.
AAGUGCAUCAAUGGAACUGUUUC